UUUUUCUGUGAUUCCUCAUUGCACAGAAAACCAAGCAUAUAAGGAGUACAAGCCUAAUUCACUGCAGACAUGUAGACAUUACUGCAAAGAAGACAUAACCUCCAAACUGAAGGCAUUUAAACACUUUUUUGCUUUAUGCCAAAAAAACUUAUUCAAAGCACUACCUUGAAUUGCUUUUCCAGUCGUGUCUUUCCUCCUACUCCCGGUAUAAGGAUGCUGUUAACAUAGCUGUGCAGCUGAUUUGAAGAUACUUCAGUCUCCUUUCCAAGAAUGGCUUCCAACAAGGCAUCAUGGAUGAAAAUGUACUGCUCCUAAGCGUCACCUGCAUGGGAGAAAUCAUUCUUAUGACACCCGUCUCCUUUGUGACUUUGCUGGGGUGAAAAGGGGACAAACACCUAUACCAAAAUCCAGUCGUCAUCAAGUAGACUCGGAAGCGUCGGCCGUUAGCGCAGAUGGGUGAAGAGCAUGUGCCUGGGCUGACAGCAGCUCUGGUGUCAUUGUUGCUACUGCGGCAAUACAGGAGGGAUCUGUGUUCCAGUGAGGCACAUGUGGUCAGUCAUCCCUCAAGCAAGAGAGGGGUGUUACCACACGCCACCCUCGACUCCCGCAUGCAUCUGUUUGUUUGCCUGAGCCUCCAUUAUGCCAACACAAAUCCCCCACACAUUUGCGGUUUGCAUCCCUUCAUAUUUAUUACACUCUGUCUCCCACUGAACAUCCAGGAAAGAAAAAAAAUUGCGAUGUCAACAAAACUCACUUGUUUUCAUGAACAGCAUUCUUAAUGAGGAGGCACCAACACAUGGCAAAAUUUCUGAAACUCUAAAGAUGGGACUUUGAAUAAAAGAGAGACCUCUUCCUAUUUGCA
Long non-coding RNA from Sapajus apella (tufted capuchin), 862 nucleotides. RefSeq lists it as uncharacterized. The record is from RefSeq and is a predicted model, not a curated record. NCBI's taxonomy places the organism in Eukaryota, Metazoa, Chordata, Mammalia, Primates, Cebidae. The transcript has 3 exons.